GGGGAGGGCGAGGUGUAUGAGAAACGUUCUCCCUGGGCUUACAGAGGAUACUACCACCCCGCCUGGUGGAAGAGAAGCAUAGACCCACACACACCAUUGCAUAAGAUGGAGGAACUGGCGAAGUUGCUGUCCUAUAAGAAUCACCAGCUGGCCAGCCAAUCAGAGCUGGCAGACGAGGAAAAGAAGAGGAGCGUAUCUCUAACCCCAGAGGAGGAGAAGGAGCUGGAGAACAUAGCAGCUAUGGACAUGGAGUUACAGAAGAUAUCUGAGAAGAUGCAGGAGGACAGGAGUGAAUAGAUAAGACAGGCAGAGGCAUGCAGACAGGGAUGCUAAGAUACACAAGGUUAGCACACUGAGAUAGUAACAAAAGACUAGAGAGAGAGAUAGACUGACCCGUCAGUGUUCCGGACAAAAAACCACUAACAUCCAAGAGCCUUGCUGCAAAUUCUGCCGUGUUAACCUUUGUACCUGUGAAAUGCUGAUGUUCUCAAAAGAGACUGUUUAGUUCAUAUAUAAGUAUGAUAGUAUAAAGAUAAAGUAGAUGCUUUGCUAAUUUGUCCGGAUAUCUAUAUAUUUAAAGUACGCAUGACCUUUGAAUGGUUGUUUGUUUGUUCAGUCUGCAUUUAAUAAAAUGAAUUAUUCUGA
Molecule: long non-coding RNA, 645 nt
Organism: Oncorhynchus tshawytscha (Chinook salmon)
Lineage: Eukaryota; Metazoa; Chordata; Actinopteri; Salmoniformes; Salmonidae
Exons: 3
Source: RefSeq, a predicted model, not a curated record